RNAcentral lists this ribosomal RNA (483 nucleotides) under uncultured bacterium. RNAcentral describes it as "partial 16S ribosomal RNA". It matches the Rfam family "Bacterial small subunit ribosomal RNA", at positions 28 to 507 of the family's 1533-position model. The record is from RNAcentral.
GACGAACGCUGGCGGCGUGCUUAACACAUGCAAGUCGAACGCUGAAGCUCAGCUUUUGUUGGGUGGAUGAGUGGCGAACGGGUGAGUAACACGUGAGUAACCUGCCCCCUUCUUUGGGAUAACGCCCGGAAACGGGUGCUAAUACUGGAUAUUCACUGGUCUUCGCAUGGGGGUUGGUGGGAAGGGCUUUUCUGGUGGGGGAUGGGCUCGCGGCCUAUCUGCUUGGUGGUGGGGUGAUGGCCUACCAAGGCUUUGACGGGUAUGCAGACUGAGAGGGUGACCGGUCACAUUGGGACGGUGAUACGGCCCAGACUCCGACGGGAGGCAGCAGUGGGGAAUAUUGCACAAUGGGCGCAAGCCUGAUGCAGCGACGGCGCGUGAGGGAUGGAGGCCGUCGGGUUGUGAACCUCUUUCGCUCAUGGUCAAGCCGCAACAAUGGUUGUGGUGAGGGUAGUGGGUAAAGAAGCGCCGGCUAACUACGUG